GGGAACCCGCACAAGCGGUGGAGUAUGUUGUUUAAUUCGAAGAUACACGAAGAACCUUACCAGGUCUUGACAUACCAUUGACAGGCGCAGAGAUGUGCUCUUCUUCGGACAAUGGAUACAGGUGGUGCAUGGUUGUCGUCAGCUCGUGCCGUGAGGUGUUGGGUUAAGUCCCGCAACGAGCGCAACCCCUAUUGCUAGUUACUAACAUUCAGUUGAGGACUCUAGUGAGACUGCCAGUGACAAACUGGAGGAAGGUGGGGAUGACGUCAAAUCAUCAUGCCCUUUAUGACCUGGGCUACACACGUGCUACAAUGGUUGGUACAACGAGUUGCGAGUCGGUGACGGCGAGCUAAUCUCUUAAAGCCAAAUCUCAGUUCGGAUUGUAGGCUGCAACUCGCCUACAUGAAGUCGGAAUCGCUAGUAAUCGCGGAUCAGCACGCCGCGGUGAAUACGUUCCCGGGCCUU
RNAcentral lists this ribosomal RNA (465 nucleotides) under uncultured Streptococcus sp. Its description in RNAcentral is "bacterial SSU rRNA". It matches the Rfam family "Bacterial small subunit ribosomal RNA", at positions 915 to 1382 of the family's 1533-position model. The record is from RNAcentral. Lineage: Bacteria; Bacillati; Bacillota; Bacilli; Lactobacillales; Streptococcaceae.